Molecule: unclassified non-coding RNA, 200 nt
Filed under: Serendipitaceae sp.
Lineage: Eukaryota; Fungi; Basidiomycota; Agaricomycetes; Sebacinales; Serendipitaceae
Description: partial internal transcribed spacer 2
Source: RNAcentral
UUAAGUUCAGCGGGUAAUCCCACCCGAUUUGAGGUCAAGUUGUCAAAGAUUGUCCGCAUGUGCAGGACGGUUCGAAAGCGCAGAGCCCACCAAGCGGCGUGUCCCAAAGGAGCUUGAACCAGUGAAGAUACUUAUCACACUGAUGACGCUGCAAACAGCAGGGUGCACUCAUGCAUUUCAGACCAGCCAUGGAGACACGG